Molecule: long non-coding RNA, 1357 nt
Organism: Lathyrus oleraceus (garden pea)
Lineage: Eukaryota; Viridiplantae; Streptophyta; Magnoliopsida; Fabales; Fabaceae
Exons: 2
Source: RefSeq, a predicted model, not a curated record
GGGGUGCAUGAAUGAGAGGUGAGGUGUAUAGCUGGGGGAAAAACACUUGGGCCAAAGGCCCAAAUCCGGGUCUUCCAUGACAUUACCAAGAAUCGGUCCAAUUGAGAUGAGGAACGUUCCAACUCAAGGGAAGACGCUCGUGACGAGGACAGUAAAGGAAAUGAAAUGCAGAAAAUGCGUUUAUGUUGGGGUUGAAACCUACCGUCGAUGCCGAAAGUUUCCAGUGUGUGGCCGCCGCGAGUAAUCACGAACCUUCAACCGAACUCCUUCGAUCUGUGCCGUCUUCGCCGCUACGUUAGGUGAAAGAUGAAGACAAUGCUUGGUCACGAACUCGUUCGUUGCGUAAGUUGUAUCUUCGGUUUGGAUGACGGUAAUGAAGACCGUUGAAGUUGGCUUAUCAAAUCUCUACGGCGAAUCUUGAUGAAGACGGAGCCUCUUCCAAAUCGUGAGUUCUCUUCCCGAUUUUGUUUUCGUUUUCUUCUGCUCUCCGUCGAUCUUCCUCUUCUGUUACACUUCUUUUUCCGAUUUUCUUCUUCUGUAUUCUGCUAUUGUUGAGAGAUGGUUCUAAGUUGCCAUGUUGUUGGAAGUAUGGGUGAUGGAAAGGAAAUGUUGGAUCUUGGUAUCGGUAGUGUUUUUGACAAGAUUUUGUUUGGAGUUUUCUGCAGAACUGAGUUCUGAAUGAAACUCUGAAGGUAAAGUUGCCUGGAGUUGGUUAUGGUGUGUUGAAAGUUGAAGGCUGAAGAACUCGGUUGGUUGCUGCGGUUAUAUAGAGUUUGUUGUGAUUUUGGAGAAGAUGGAAGAGAGGUUGAAGAUGAAUGUGGCAAUGAAAGAGAGAGAGCUUCUGAACGGCGAAGGUUUUGUAUCCGCGUUUCGUUCGCGUUUGGGUUGAGCCGCUCAUGAACUUUUGGUAAUGCUUCUUUUCCACGCCGGCGUUGCCGUUUUGGCUUGAUUCUAGCGUGUUGUAGCUUGGCUUAAUGUGUUAAGUAGCAGCUUAUGAGUUUUGAUGCAUUGGCGUUGGUGUGCUGCUGUUGUCAUGGCUUAUAUUUGAAGCUCUUUUCCAUAGCAGCUUUUUGGUGGUUGUUGCGCAUUGUAGCAGCUGGUUUGCGGAAGCCGUUUUGUGUGGUGGCUCGUUUUCGUUUGGACUUUGGCCUUUGCACUGCAGUACCAUGUGAGUUGAGUAGCUGGGAGUUUGGAAGGUGUUUGAGUUGCAGUUGUUGUGCAGCUUUUCGUUGUAGCUGCUUAGGAUAGUGAGUUUGAAUGUCGCUUUUGGCUUGGCUCAUCAUCACAUGUACUUGUUUUGGACCUUGGAAGUAUUGUGUUAAUUGGUUAAUGGCCAAACCACAUGGAUUUAAUUGGA